This 98-nucleotide microRNA precursor is filed under the name Lepisosteus oculatus (spotted gar). Its description in RNAcentral is "Danio rerio miR-26a-1 stem-loop (ENSLOCG00000018816.1)". The stretch from base 9 to 89 matches the Rfam family "mir-26 microRNA precursor family". Rfam says of the family: The hairpin precursors (represented here) are predicted based on base pairing and cross-species conservation -- their extents are not known. The record is from RNAcentral. Lineage: Eukaryota; Metazoa; Chordata; Actinopteri; Semionotiformes; Lepisosteidae.
GUCUUAGGCCUGUGCCUGUUUCAAGUAAUCCAGGAUAGGCUUGUUCAAGCUUGGAAGGCCUAUUCUGGAUGACUUGGUUCAGGAGCAAGGCCAAUAGC